AUUAACUUAUUUUUCGAUUGAUUACGUUAUACACAAAUAUGUCCGCAUUGUGUAUGUAUCCCCUUAGCAUUACUCCAUAUGUGUAUAACUUUAAGUAUAAAAAC
Molecule: unclassified non-coding RNA, 104 nt
Filed under: Moritella viscosa
Lineage: Bacteria; Pseudomonadati; Pseudomonadota; Gammaproteobacteria; Alteromonadales; Moritellaceae
Description: putative sRNA
Source: RNAcentral